GACGAACGCUGGCGGCGUGCUUAACACAUGCAAGUCGAACGGAAAGGCCCUGCUUUUGUGGGGUGCUCGAGUGGCGAACGGGUGAGUAACACGUGAGUAACCUGCCCUUGACUUUGGGAUAACUUCAGGAAACUGGGGCUAAUACCGGAUAGGAGCUCCUGCUGCAUGGUGGGGGUUGGAAAGUUUCGGCGGUUGGGGAUGGACUCGCGGCUUAUCAGCUUGUUGGUGGGGUAGUGGCUUACCAAGGCUUUGACGGGUAGCCGGCCUGAGAGGGUGACCAGCCACAUUAGGACUGAGAUACGGCCCAGCCUCCUACGGGAGGCAGCAGUGGGGAAUAUUGCACAAUGGGCGGAAGCCUGAUGCAGCAACGCCGCGUGCGGGAUGCCGGCCUUCGGGUUAUAAACCGCUUUCGCCUGUGACGAAGCGUGAGUGACGGUAAUGAGUAAAGAAGCACCGGCUAACUACGUG
Molecule: ribosomal RNA, 468 nt
Filed under: uncultured bacterium
Lineage: Bacteria
Description: partial 16S ribosomal RNA
Rfam family: Bacterial small subunit ribosomal RNA
Source: RNAcentral